RNAcentral lists this ribosomal RNA (552 nucleotides) under Trichoderma erinaceum. RNAcentral describes it as "eukaryotic LSU rRNA". The stretch from base 175 to 328 matches the Rfam family "5.8S ribosomal RNA". Lineage: Eukaryota; Fungi; Ascomycota; Sordariomycetes; Hypocreales; Hypocreaceae. The record is from RNAcentral.
UCACUCCAACCCAAUGUGAACCAUACCAAACUGUUGCCUCGGCGGGGUCACGCCCCGGGUGCGUCGCAGCCCCGGAACCAGGCGCCCGCCGGAGGGACCAACCAAACUCUUUACUGUAGUCCCCUCGCGGACGUUAUUUCUUACAGCUCUGAGCAAAAAUUCAAAAUGAAUCAAAACUUUCAACAACGGAUCUCUUGGUUCUGGCAUCGAUGAAGAACGCAGCGAAAUGCGAUAAGUAAUGUGAAUUGCAGAAUUCAGUGAAUCAUCGAAUCUUUGAACGCACAUUGCGCCCGCCAGUAUUCUGGCGGGCAUGCCUGUCCGAGCGUCAUUUCAACCCUCGAACCCCUCCGGGGGGUCGGCGUUGGGGAUCGGGAACCCCUCAGACGGGAUCCCGGCCCCGAAAUACAGUGGCGGUCUCGCCGCAGCCUCUCCUGCGCAGUAGUUUGCACAACUCGCACCGGGAGCGCGGCGCGUCCACGUCCGUAAAACACCCAACUUCUGAAAUGUUGACCUCGGAUCAGGUAGGAAUACCCGCUGAACUUAAGCAUAUCA